Molecule: long non-coding RNA, 1020 nt
Filed under: Homo sapiens (human)
Lineage: Eukaryota; Metazoa; Chordata; Mammalia; Primates; Hominidae
Description: novel transcript
Source: RNAcentral
ACUUCCUGUGAUCCUUUCCGGAGCCCUUCAGCCUGGCUGGCUCUCCAGCCAUCUCGGAAAGCUUCUCUUUCCUAAACCCUCCAUACUCGCAGGUUCAGCUACAGAGGUAACUGCAGGCUCAGGUUCUCCAGGGUGGCCAGCCCACCAGCCCACCGUCCCGGUGCAGCAGUGCCUCUCCAGCGACAGCUCCACCGCGAGCCUGGCGGGCUCCCGACCUUGCUCCCCAGCACGUCGUCUCCAAGCCACGGUCUCACCACCCUCCAUCAGCCUCGGGCGACACCAAGGGGAACAGAGCGCUGGAGCUCCUCGAAGUCCUCCCGACCUUAGCGGGGCUCCGUUCAUCCUCCCGGACGUGGCCAGGCCCCGCUCUGGCCCCGCGCCCGCCCCUCCCGCGGGGCUGCCCCUGUCUCUCUGCCGGAGACCCGGACUCAGUGAGUGAGCGCAGCGCGGCCAUAGGGCUUCCUGCAGCGGGGUCUCAGCACGUCUUCUGGCUGGACUCUGGGGUCUCCUGGCCUGGCUGUGUCUCCUGGUUCUCAGCGCUCGCCUCCCACGCGGGGCGGAGUAUGGGAGUGGGCUGCUCCCGCGGAAGAAUCCUGGGGAAGUUGAGGCACUGGCUCCCGCUGUUCAGAACACUGCCCGACGUCCCCAGAGCUAGCCACUCCUCCUUCCCACCCACCCGCAGCACUCUCGAGGUCGCAACGGCAGUCACCAGGUCCCGGGGCCUGCGUUCAGCUGCUUGAUCCGACUAGGUUUGGCUUCGGACCCGAAUGGGUCAGCUCCACGCCCGAUGGAGUUUUUCAAGCUGGUGCCUGCACGUGCCCCCGCCGCGGGGCAUGAAGCCGUGGGCUGCGCCCAAACUGCCUCACAACCACCGCUGACCCGAAGCCUCUCUCACUCCGUCCACUGUUAGAAACCUGAAGCUGCCCUCUGUGAGAAAGCGUUGGGAUUGAAUCCAGACUUUUGGGGAACCUUAACAAUAAAGAAUACAAAAUAUUGACUAAAAAUUGGAUUUGAAAGUGA